AUCGUUCGGACUAGUGACUUGUCUUGCUGUGGAAUCGUUUUGUCUACGGUAUGCGGUUCGUUCGCGGAUCGUAUUACUUCGGGCAUCGUUAAUAGCAAACUUAGAACUCGCUGCGUCUAGGGGAAUCCGACUGUCUAAUUAAACAGAGCUUUGCGAUUGGCCGGAAAACUUGGUGUUGAACGCAAAGUGAUUUCUGCCCAGUGCUCUGAAUGUUAACGUGAAGAAAUUCAAAUAAGCGCGGGUAAACGGCGGGAGUAACUAUGACUCUCUUCUGGUAGCCAAAUGCCUCGUCAUCUAAUUAGUGACGCGCAUGAAUGGAUUAACGAGAUUCCCACUGUCCCUGUCUACUAUCUAGCGAAACCACAGCCAAGGGAACGGGCUUGGACUUCAAUGCGGGGAAAGAAGACCCUGUUGAGCUUGACUCUAAUCUGUCUUCGUAAAGAGACUUGAAAAGUGUAGUGUAGAUGGGAGUGGCAACACGGC
RNAcentral lists this ribosomal RNA (483 nucleotides) under uncultured eukaryote. Its description in RNAcentral is "eukaryotic LSU rRNA". It matches the Rfam family "Eukaryotic large subunit ribosomal RNA", at positions 2012 to 2487 of the family's 3401-position model. The record is from RNAcentral.